This 733-nucleotide ribosomal RNA is filed under the name uncultured Streptococcaceae bacterium. Its description in RNAcentral is "bacterial SSU rRNA". It matches the Rfam family "Bacterial small subunit ribosomal RNA", at positions 61 to 777 of the family's 1533-position model. Lineage: Bacteria; Bacillati; Bacillota; Bacilli; Lactobacillales; Streptococcaceae. The record is from RNAcentral.
GUAGAACGCUGAAGAGGGGAGCUUGCUCUUCUUGGAUGAGUUGCGAACGGGUGAGUAACGCGUAGGUAACCUGCCUGGUAGCGGGGGAUAACUAUUGGAAACGAUAGCUAAUACCGCAUAAAAUUAAUUAUUGCAUGAUAAUUAAUUGAAAGAUGCAAUUGCAUCACUACCAGAUGGACCUGCGUUGUAUUAGCUAGUUGGUGAGGUAACGGCUCACCAAGGCGACGAUACAUAGCCGACCUGAGAGGGUGAUCGGCCACACUGGGACUGAGACACGGCCCAGACUCCUACGGGAGGCAGCAGUAGGGAAUCUUCGGCAAUGGGGGGAACCCUGACCGAGCAACGCCGCGUGAGUGAAGAAGGUUUUCGGAUCGUAAAGCUCUGUUGUAAGAGAAGAACGGGUGUGAGAGUGGAAAGUUCACACUGUGACGGUAUCUUACCAGAAAGGGACGGCUAACUACGUGCCAGCAGCCGCGGUAAUACGUAGGUCCCGAGCGUUGUCCGGAUUUAUUGGGCGUAAAGCGAGCGCAGGCGGUUAGAUAAGUCUGAAGUUAAAGGCUGUGGCUUAACCAUAGUAUGCUUUGGAAACUGUCUAACUUGAGUGCAGAAGGGGAGAGUGGAAUUCCAUGUGUAGCGGUGAAAUGCGUAGAUAUAUGGAGGAACACCGGUGGCGAAAGCGGCUCUCUGGUCUGUAACUGACGCUGAGGCUCGAAAGCGUGGGGAGCAAACAGGA